ACUAGUGGAAAAAACACUUCUUAUGUCUGUUAGAAUCGACUUCUUAAGUCGGUUCCGAGCCUGACCUAACAAUUCCAGUCAUAAGAAGUAUUGACUUCUUAAGUCGAAUUUGGACCUGACUUAAGAAACGCUUUUUAAGUCGGUUAAAAUGACGUUUUAAGUCGGUCUCUACCUGACUUAAGAAAAGGCGACAUAAGAAGUUUGAAGUUCUUAAGUCAGAUUUUGACCUGACUUAAAAACUGACUUCUUAAGUCAGUUAAAGUUUUACCCGACCUAAGAAGUGUUACUGUAAUUUUAAAAAAAAUAUAGCCACAAUUAAAUCGUGGCAAACAACACUUUCUUUACAAAAAAAUAAUAAAAAAAUACAGUAGCUCUGCAUUUGCUAACCAAAUAUCCAAAUGAGAGUAAUUUAUUUUGCCCAAUUUAAAUUACAUAAGAACAAAUUUACAAACUAAUUUAAGGGGUAUAAUAUCACUCAUGAAGAAAUAAGUAACUAAACUAACUACAAACUAAUUAUAAUUCUAACACACACUGAGAACCAACACAAUAAUGAAUAUGUGAAUGUCUAGUCAAUAAUACUUUUCUCAAUGUAAAACUU
Molecule: long non-coding RNA, 598 nt
Filed under: Trifolium pratense (red clover)
Lineage: Eukaryota; Viridiplantae; Streptophyta; Magnoliopsida; Fabales; Fabaceae
Description: long non-coding RNA (TPRA_LNC010294)
Source: RNAcentral